This 484-nucleotide ribosomal RNA is filed under the name uncultured bacterium. RNAcentral describes it as "partial 16S ribosomal RNA". It matches the Rfam family "Bacterial small subunit ribosomal RNA", at positions 30 to 507 of the family's 1533-position model. The record is from RNAcentral.
AUUGAACGCUGGCGGCAGGCCUAACACAUGCAAGUCGAGCGGAUGAAGGGAGCUUGCUCCUGGAUUCAGCGGCGGACUGGUGAGUAAUGCCUAGGAAUCUGCCUGGUAGUGGGGGAUAACGUCCGGAAACGGGCGCUAAUACCGCAUACGUCCUGAGGGAGAAAGUGGGGGAUCUUCGGACCUCACGCUAUCAGAUGAGCCUAGGUCGGAUUAGCUAGUUGGUGGGGUAAAGGCCUACCAAGGCGACGAUCCGUAACUGGUCUGAGAGGAUGAUCUGUCACACUGGAACUGAGACACGGUCCAGACUCCUACGGGAGGCAGCAGUGGGGAAUAUUGGACAAUGGGCGAAAGCCUGAUCCAGCCAUGCCGCGUGUGUGAAGAAGGUCUUCGGAUUGUAAAGCACUUUAAGUUGGGAGGAAGGGCAGUAAGUUAAUACCUUGCUGUUUUGACGUUACCAACAGAAUAAGCACCGGCUAACUUCGUG